This is a small nucleolar RNA of Octodon degus (degu), 103 nucleotides long. RefSeq annotates it as small nucleolar RNA U13. NCBI's taxonomy places the organism in Eukaryota, Metazoa, Chordata, Mammalia, Rodentia, Octodontidae. The transcript has a single exon. The record is from RefSeq and is a predicted model, not a curated record.
AUCUUGGUGUGGCUCAUAAGCACAGCGAUUGGGGUUUUAUGCUCUCUGUGAGAUGUUCCUCCACUGAGCCCUGUCAUGAUGCGGGCGCCUUAUCUGUCAUGCA